RNAcentral lists this ribosomal RNA (440 nucleotides) under uncultured bacterium. RNAcentral describes it as "partial 16S ribosomal RNA". It matches the Rfam family "Bacterial small subunit ribosomal RNA", at positions 338 to 795 of the family's 1533-position model. The record is from RNAcentral.
CCUACGAGAGGCUGCAGUGGGGAAUAUUGCACAAUGGGGGGAACCCUGAUGCAGCGACGCCGCGUGAGUGAAGAAGUAUUUCGGUAUGUAAAGCUCUAUCAGCAGGGAAGAAAAUGACGGUACCUGACUAAGAAGCCCCGGCUAACUACGUGCAAGCAGCCGCGGUAAUACGUAGGGGGCAAGCGUUAUCCGGAUUUACUGGGUGUGAAGGGAGCGCAGACGGCUGUGCAAGUCUGGAGUGAAAGGCGGGGGCCCAACCCCCGGACUGCUCUGGAAACUGUAAAGCUGGAGUGCAGGAGAGGUAAGCGGAAUUCCUAGUGUAGCGGUGAAAUGCGUAGAUAUUAGGAGGAACACCAGUGGCGAAGGCGGCUUACUGGACUGCAACUGACGUUGAGGCUCGAAAGCGUGGGGAGCAAACAGGAUUAGAUACCCCAGUAGUC